This 278-nucleotide transfer-messenger RNA is filed under the name Streptomyces phage SparkleGoddess. Its description in RNAcentral is "132". It matches the Rfam family "transfer-messenger RNA". Rfam says of the family: Bacterial tmRNA, also known as 10Sa RNA or SsrA, is named for its dual tRNA and mRNA-like properties. The record is from RNAcentral. Lineage: Duplodnaviria; Heunggongvirae; Uroviricota; Caudoviricetes; Stanwilliamsviridae. RNAcentral also lists the same sequence under 4 other names.
GGGGUAGCUUGGUUUCGACUUUGCUGGAUGACAUAUGAACGCAACCCUUCUUGGUCAAAGAAGUAAAACGGGCCAAAACAAUAAAUGCAAACUCUAAGAAUGCAUCUGCAUACGCCCUUGCGGCGUAAGAGCCGGGUUUGUCGUUGACCUAGGAACAGAACAACGACUAGACAAAAUGUGUAGAUAAUGUGUAAGACCCUUCAGUGUGAUUGACAUGGUUGUGUAACGGUUAUAUGCUAGAUAGUAAAGGACGCGGGUUCGACUCCCGCCUACUCCAC